CUGUGACGCUUUGUAAUUUUGUCAAAGGCUGUGAACAUAGUGGUGUGCUGCUACAACUCCUGUGGAAGAGGAUGCAACAGAUGAACUCAUAAAACUGGUUUUCCUAGUUUGGAAACCAUCUAGGCUGUAUUGUACUUUAGACUUAUUUGGGAUCCUGUUUCUUGUGGUGAGUAUAAGUGGAUGGACAAAUGCAUUUUGGCUUGUUCUUCAGCCCCAGGCAUCUUUGUUUUAUAGGUUGGGCGUGAUGCUGGUAGGGCAAGCAGUGUAUAUAGGUAACCUUGGACUGCUUAAGCUUGCGGCCAGUAGGUGAAUACAAGAAUAGGUGUGCAUUCAUAAGAGCAGUGGCUCUUAACCCUGAGCAUGUGUUUGUUUUUACAGGUUUUCCUGCUAAUGCGGUCUGCUGGAGCUUGAGAUUGGUAUGUUUGUUUAUGAAUGUACACCUAUUCCUCUACUGUGUUUUUUCAGCCCAUGCGUGUAUUUGUUUGGCAGGUUUUGGGAACAGUAUAGCCUUUGUGGUACUUCAGCUUUACCUGGCAUCCUGUUUCUCUUUGGUGAGUAUAUGCAUGGAUAAAGAAAUUCCUAUUAGUGUUUUCAUGCUUCUGCCCAGGAAUCUUUGUUUUACAGGUUGAUCAUGAUCUUGGACUGCUUGAGUCUGAGACCACUAGGUAAGUAGAAUAGGUCAGGACAGUGAUUUUUAAGCCCGGGCAUGUUUUUGUUUUUACAGGUUUUCCUGGUUUGAAAAAAGUCUAGUCACAGUGGUACUUUUGCAUUAAUUAGGACCCUGUUUCUUCUGGUAUGUACAAAUGGAUGGACAAGUUAAUUUUGCACUGUCAUUCUAUAAAUUGGUCUUCUUUGUUUUAUAGGUUGGUCAUGCUGUAAAAAAGGCGAGCAGUGUAGUCCGGUAACCUUGGACUUGAUGGAGUUUCUGACCAGUAGAUGAGUAAAAGAAAAGGUGUGUAUUCAUAAGGAAAUUGAUUCUUUAGCAUGGGUAUGUUUUUGUUUUUACAGGUUUUCCUGGUUUGGGGAAAAAAGCCUUAUUUUGGUAAGUAUGAGCGUAUAGAGAAAUACAAUUUGGAAUUGUUGUUUUUUUGACUAGGGCAUCUUUGUUUCUCUGUUUUUGGUAGGUAGAUGAGUCGCUUGAGAAAUACGUGUUUUCAUUAUUCAGCCCAGAAUUCUUUGUUUUACAUGUCGAUCGUGCUGUAGGAAAGGCUUACAGCAUGGGCAGGUAGCCUUGGACUGCAAGAGUUUGUGACCAGUAGAUAAGUAGAAUAGGGGUGCAUUAAUAAAAAAAAAAAAAGUGAUCCAUUAGCCCAGGCAUGCAUUUGGUUUUACAGGCUUUCCUGAUUUGGGAAAUGUUUAAUCGAUGUGGUACUUCAUUCUUGGUGUUUUUUUCUGGGAUCUUGGUAAGUAUGAGUGGGUGGACAAAUUUGGGCAGUUUGGUCUUUCAUUCUUCAGCCUAUCUGGUUUUUUUUUUUUUUUUUACAGGUUCGGUCCAUGUAUAAGAGUGUAGUCUGGUAACUAUUCCUCUACUAAGUGUUUUUUUUUUUUCAGCCCAUGCAGGUAUUUGUUUGGCAGGUUUUGGUAACAGUCUAGCCUUUGUGGUACUUCAGUCUUACCAGGGCUCCUGCUUUUCUUUGGUGAGUAAAUGCGUGGAUUAAGAAAUUCCUAUUGGUCUUUUCAGUCUUCAGCCCAGGAAUCUUUGUUUUACAGGUUGAUUAUUAUGUAGAAAAAUGCAAACAACAUAGGCAGGUAGCCUUGUACUACUCGAGUCUGAGACGACUAGGUAAGUAGAAGAAUAGGUGUGCAUUCAUAAGGAUAGUGAUUUUUAAACCUGGGCAUGUUUUAAUUUUCCAAGUUUUUCCUGGUUUGGAAACCGUCUAGUUACAGUGGUACUUCAGCCUUAAUUGGGGUCUUGUUUCUUCUGGUAAUUAUGAGUGAAUGUACAAAGUCCUAUUGACAUUGUGAUUCUUCAGGUCAGGCAUGUAUUUGUUUUGCACAAAAAAGGUACUGUUUCCUUGGCAGGUUUUUUGGGUGCAGUUUCUUUUGGUAAGUAUUAGUGGAAGACCAAAUUAAUUUUGGCAUUGUAAUUCUUUAGUCCAGUCAUCUUUUUUUUUCAGGUUGGCACUGAUGUAGGAAAGGCGCGUAAAUUUGUCUGCUGCGGCUUGUGAUCAGUAGGUGAGUAUAGAGGAGUAAGGGUGCAUGAGGAGACUGUAUCUCUUAGGCCAGUCAUGUAUUUUACAGGUUUUCCUGGUUUGGGAAAUGUGAUACUUCAUCCUUCGCCGUUUUUUUGGGAUUGGACAGACAAAUGGAUUUUGGUGUUGUCAUUCUUCAGCCUGUGUAUCUAUUUUGCAGGUUGGGCCCAUGUGUAAGCAAGGGUAGUUGGUAGAGGAAUAGGUGUGCAUUCAUAAAGAAAGUGCUUUCUCAGCCCAGGAAUGUAUUUGUUUUGGGAACAGUCUAGCUUUUGUGGUACUUCAGCAUCACCUGGGAUUCUGCUUCUCUUUGGUAGGUAUUUGCGUGGAUGAAGACGUUGCUAUUGGUGGUUUAAUUUUUCUUCCAAGAAAUCUGUUUUACAGGUGAAACAUGAUGUACAAAAGGCAAGCAACAUACAGUAGGCAGGUAGCCUUGUACUGCUUGAGUCUAAGACAACUAAGUAAGUAGAUGAAUAGGUGUGAAUAUAUAAAAAAAAGUGAUCCUUUAGUCCAGGCUUUAUUUCAGGUUUCCCUGGUUUGGAAAAUGUCUAGUCACAGUGGUGCGUCAGCCUUAAUUGGGAUCUUGUUUCUUCUGGUAAGUAUGAGUAAAUGUACAAAGUCCUAUUGACAUUGUGAUUUUUCAGGUCAGGCAUGUAUUUGUUUUUACAGGAUUUCCUCAUAUGAAGCCUUUAGCCACUUUGGUACUUUUUCCGUGGCAGGUUUUUUGGGAUGCAGUUUUCUUUGGUAAGUAUGAGUGGAAGACCAAAUUAAUUUUGUCAUUGUAAUUCCAGUCCAGUCAUCUUUGUUUUUCAGGUUGGCACUGAUGUAGGAAAGGCAAGCAGUGGAGGCCGCGUAAUCUUGGCACUGAUGUAGGAAAGGCAAGCAGUGGAGGCCGCGUAAUCUUGUCUGCUGCGGCUUGUGAUCAGUAGGUGAGUAGAGGAGCAUGAGAUGAGUAGACUGUAUCUUUAGCCCAGGCAUGUAUCUGUUUUUACAGGUUUUCCUCAUAUGAAACAUUUAGAGAUUGGGUACUUGGGUACUUGGCAGUUCUCUUGGGAUUCUCUUCUUUUGGUAUGUAUGAGUGUUUGAAGAAAUUAAUUUUGCAUUGUCAUUUUUCAUGCCGGGCAUCUUUGUGUUAUAGGUUGAGCCCUUUUAUAGGAAGGGAUAGCAGCAGAGGCAGACAACCUUGGACUGCUGGAGCACGUUAUAGGUAGGUGAGUGCAUAAGGAGUCUGUGUAUCUAGGAAUGUAUUUGUUUUUACAGGUUUUCCUGGUUUGGGAAAUAUUUAGUCAAUGUGGUAUGUCAUCCUUCACCGGUUUCUUGGGUGUGGAAGGACAAAUGCAUUUUGGUGUUGUCAUUCUUCUGACUGUGCAUCUGUUUUGCAGGUUGGGCCCAUGUGUAAGAAAGGGUAGACCGUAGAGGAAUAUGUGUGUGCAUUUAUAAAAGUGUUUUUUUAGCCCAGGAAUAUAUUUGCUUUGGGAACAGUCUAGCCUUUGUGGUACUUCCGCAUCACCUGGGAUUCUGCUUCUCUUUGGUAGGUAUGUGCAUAGAUGAAGAAAUUGCUAUUGGUGUUUUCAUUCUUCAGCACAGAAAUCUUUGUUUUACAGGUUAAACAUGAUGCACAAAAGGCUAGCGGCAUAGGCAGGUAGCCUUGGACUGCUUGAGUUUGUGAAUGGUACAUAUCAUGCUUCUGGUACGCAUGGAACUUUCUAAUGGUUUGGGAUUCUUCGGCCCAGGCAUGUGUUCAUUUUUACAGGUUCUCCUUGUUUGGGAAAGAUCUAGCCACUGGCACUUCAUUCUUGGUACGUUUCUUGGCAUCCUGUUUCUUUUGGUAGUUAUGAGUGGCUUGAGGAAUUAAUUUUGCAUACCUAAUUUAGCAUAAGAGACUGUUUGUUCGGCCUAGGCAUGUAUUCAUUUUUCCAGGUUGUCUUGGUUUGGGAAACAUCUAGCCAAUGUGUUACUACAUUCUUACUUCAGUCUUUGGGAUCCUGUAUCUUUUGGUAAGUAUGAGUGGAUAGACAAAUUUCUUUAGGCAUUAUGAUUCUUCAGCCCAGGAAUGUAUUUGUUUUUACAGGUUUUCCCUCAUGAAACAUGUAGCCACAUUGGUAAGUCAUCCUGUGCAAGUUACUUGGAAUGCAGUUUCUUUUGGUAAGUAUGAGUGGAAGAACAAAUUAAUUUUGGCAUUGUGAUUCUUCAGCCCAAGUAUCUAUUUGUUUUAUAGCUUGAGAAAUUACACGGGAAAAAGUCCAGAGAUGGUUAAGCUUCACCCUUGGCUGGUUGCUGCCUGGUUUGAUGAAGUCCCCAGCCUUGCAGCAGUUUCCUUAUGAUGAUGCCCCACCAACUCCACACCCAAGGCAACAGCCCUUCUUGCUUGGACCGAACAAGAUGAGCGGAUGAGAAACCUGAUGUCUCCUCUUUAUCACCGUGCCAUGAUGUAUCCAGUUGCAUUUUAUAUUUGGAUAUGGAUUGUAAAAUGUUUGUUUUUCAUUAAACACAUUUUUAUUUGACUUUCAA
Molecule: long non-coding RNA, 4700 nt
Organism: Xenopus tropicalis (tropical clawed frog)
Lineage: Eukaryota; Metazoa; Chordata; Amphibia; Anura; Pipidae
Exons: 3
Source: RefSeq, a predicted model, not a curated record